AACGCUAGCUACAGGCUUAACACAUGCAAGUCGAGGGGCAUCAGGAAGAAAGCUUGCUUUCUUUGCUGGCGACCGGCGCACGGGUGAGUAACACGUAUCCAACCUGCCGAUGACUCGGGGAUAGCCUUUCGAAAGAAAGAUUAAUACCCGAUGGUAUAUCUGAAAGGCAUCUUUCAGCUAUUAAAGAAUUUCGGUCAUUGAUGGGGAUGCGUUCCAUUAGGUUGUUGGCGGGGUAACGGCCCACCAAGCCAUCGAUGGAUAGGGGUUCUGAGAGGAAGGUCCCCCACAUUGGAACUGAGACACGGUCCAAACUCCUACGGGAGGCAGCAGUGAGGAAUAUUGGUCAAUGGACGAGAGUCUGAACCAGCCAAGUAGCGUGAAGGAUGACUGCCCUAUGGGUUGUAAACUUCUUUUAUACGGGAAUAAAGUUAGGCACGUGUGCCUUUUUGUAUGUACCGUAUGAAUAAGGAUCGGCUAACUCCGUGCCAGCAGCCGCGGUAAUACGGAGGAUCCGAGCGUUAUCCGGAUUUAUUGGGUUUAAAGGGGGCGUAGGCGGAUGCGUAAGUCAGUUGUGAAAGUUUGCGGCUCAACCGUAAAAUUGCAGUUGAUACUGGGUGUCUUGAGUACAGUAGAGGCAGGCGGAAUUCGUGGUGUAGCGGUGAAAUGCUUAGAUAUCACGAAGAACUCCGAUUG
Molecule: ribosomal RNA, 693 nt
Filed under: uncultured bacterium
Lineage: Bacteria
Description: bacterial SSU rRNA
Rfam family: Bacterial small subunit ribosomal RNA
Source: RNAcentral